CGAUCCCAUGCUGCUGGUGGUGUAUCUUCACCCGCUUAUCUCUUAACUUCACCCAUCUUGCGGGCCAACUGCCUCCAGGGGCAGAGGCACUACCGUCCUCUCCGCAGGCUCCAGAAGGGCUCCAGGUAUAACUGCAUCUGCAGCGCGGCGCUGGGAUUUCACGCCGCUGGCUGUGUCCCACGGAUUAACGCCCGAGCAUGGCACGUCACAUCGUUUCUGGGAACUUUGCAGUGAAUUUAGUUCAGAGCCAGAUUUAUGGUCAGAAUUAAAGGAAGGUGAGGAUAUACGCCGGUAGUGCUCUCCUGAGGUCUGUGCAGCUCACAUGUUGACUGCAGCGGCAUCGAUCCCCGUGUGACUGCUACACAGCGCACUCUUUGCACCAGCAUCUUGUGUUAAAUAAGAAAACUUCACCCACCCUGUGACAGCAGUAAGUGUCCUCCGAGGAAUACAUGGAAGUUCCUGAAGAUUGAAAAGCAGGUGGGAACAGAGAACGAGAGAAACCCCCGACAGACAAUAUUGUGUUUCUUCAGAGCUCGAG
Molecule: long non-coding RNA, 538 nt
Organism: Grus americana (Whooping crane)
Lineage: Eukaryota; Metazoa; Chordata; Aves; Gruiformes; Gruidae
Exons: 3
Source: RefSeq, a predicted model, not a curated record